RNAcentral lists this ribosomal RNA (253 nucleotides) under uncultured bacterium. RNAcentral describes it as "partial 16S ribosomal RNA". It matches the Rfam family "Bacterial small subunit ribosomal RNA", at positions 524 to 776 of the family's 1533-position model. The record is from RNAcentral.
UACGUAGGGUGCGAGCGUUAAUCGGAAUUACUGGGCGUAAAGCGUGCGCAGGCGGUCUGCUAAGACAGGUGUGAAAUCCCCGGGCUUAACCUGGGAACUGCGCUUGGUACUGGCAGGCUGGAGUGUGGCAGAGGGGGGUGGAAUUCCACGUGUAGCAGUGAAAUGCGUAGAGAUGUGGAGGAACACCGAUGGCGAAGGCAGCCCCCUGGGCUAACACUGACGCUCAUGCACGAAAGCGUGGGGAGCAAACAGG